AAGGAUUCCCCUAGUAACUGCGAGUGAAGCGGGAAAAGCUCAAAUUUAAAAUCUGGUGGUCUUUGGCCAUCCGAGUUGUAGUCUGGAGAAGUGCUUUCCGCGCUGGACCGUGUACAAGUCUCUUGGAAUAGAGCGUCAUAGAGGGUGAGAAUCCCGUCUUUGACACGGACUACCAGUGCUUUGUGAUGCGCUCUCGAAGAGUCGAGUUGUUUGGGAAUGCAGCUCAAAAUGGGUGGUAAAUUCCAUCUAAAGCUAAAUAUUGGCGAGAGACCGAUAGCGAACAAGUACCGUGAGGGAAAGAUGAAAAGCACUUUGGAAAGAGAGUUAAACAGUACGUGAAAUUGCUGAAAGGGAAACGCUUGAAGUCAGUCGCGUGAUUUGGAACUCAGCCUUGCUUUUGCUUGGUGCACUUUCUGAAUGACGGGCCAGCAUCAAUUUUGACCGUUGGAAAAAGGCCGGGGGAAUGUGGCACCUACGGGUGUGUUAUAGCCUCUGGUCACAUACGACGGUUGGGAUUGAGGACCGCAGCACGCCGCAAGGCAGGGGUUUGCCCACUUUCGUGCUUAGGAUGCUGGCAUAAUGGCUUUAAACGACCCGUCUUGAAACACGGACCAAGGAGUCUAACAUGCCUGCGAGUGUUUGGGUGGAAAACCCGAGCGCGUAAUGAAAGUGAAAGUUGAGACCUCUGUUGUGGAGGGCAUCGACGCCCGGACCUGACGUUCUCUGAAGGAUCCGCGGUAGAGCAUGUAUGUUGGGACCCGAAAGAUGGUGAACUAUGCCUGAAUAGGGUGAAGCCAGAGGAAACUCUGGUGGAGGCUCGUAGCGAUUCUGACGUGCAAAUCGAUCGUCAAAUUUGGGUAUAGGGGCGAAAGACUAAU
Molecule: ribosomal RNA, 878 nt
Filed under: Polyporus sp. PDD 105169
Lineage: Eukaryota; Fungi; Basidiomycota; Agaricomycetes; Polyporales; Polyporaceae
Description: eukaryotic LSU rRNA
Rfam family: Eukaryotic large subunit ribosomal RNA
Source: RNAcentral